Long non-coding RNA from Anarrhichthys ocellatus (wolf-eel), 5509 nucleotides. RefSeq lists it as uncharacterized. The transcript has 3 exons. The record is from RefSeq and is a predicted model, not a curated record. NCBI's taxonomy places the organism in Eukaryota, Metazoa, Chordata, Actinopteri, Perciformes, Anarhichadidae.
CAACAUUAGAUAUCUGCAGUAUCUUGUCUUGUCUAACCGGGUUGUUGUAAUCAUGUAACACGAGCUCGUUAGCAGUAAACAUCUCUCGUGCUACUGCGGGACAGCGCAGGUCGCCCCGGUGUUUGGCCGUUUUUAAGCGUAAUGGUCGUUAGCUUAGCACAAGACACGACACAACGCCAAAUGUGGCUCACAAUGUUGCCUUUUGCUCUUCGGCUAAACGCACACACCUCGCAAUGAAACGCCGUCUCCAAAUUGUAAGCGACCGUCCUUAAAUUCGGCGUUCGUCCGAAAAAAAAGCAAAUGGCAGCAGUUGAAUGAUAAAGCGUAAUUAAUUCAAUAACUUUCAGGCCUGGUACGAGUGUUUCUCUGCUGCUAAUAUGCGGCAACGAGCAGUGUGCACUCACGGUUAGCCAUUUCAAUACAUUGAGCUUUCAAUGUAUUGAAGCUGUUACGCUGCUUGUGCAAAUGUCUUAUCGGCCGAAUUUUAGUUACAUGUAUCAAUUAUUGGAUUGAAACGUCAAAUGUUGUCCGGGGUUUGUGGUUUCGACGAUACCGAGGAAACAAUAAAAAUGGCCAAAUUUGUAAUUGAGUCUGGUGCCACGAGCUCGCAGUGUAAUAGCGAGCGGACAAAAUCGCUAUAAACGAUUAAUCAAAUGCAUUUCCUUUCCAUUGAUUCUCCACACCUUAUUUCUGAUAUAAAGCCAAACAUAAUGGGGUCUUUAUGGCAGAUACGUGCUUGUCAAUGAUACAUUUUAAUGGUCGAUGGAAGACUACAUAGAGAAACAAGUCGCACGCUAAUUAAUCAAGCCCACGUAUUAAUAAAUGGCAUAUGACGUUAAGUGCUAAGUAGUUUACCAAAUAAGGACAAAAGGGGGUUAAUGUUGUAUUUCUGCAGUGACAUAAAAUGUAUCUAUCACUAAAAUAGGCUUGUCGCAUGAAACUUAAUUGUAAAUAUGAGUUUUAAAAAAUGAAUGAUGUAGUGCAGCUUUGCACAUAAUCAACCACAAACAGAUUUGCUGGUUUUAAUAUGAAUAAAAUAAAAAUAAUGCCUUUUUAUAUAGUAGCAUCUUAACAUUGACAUAUACAGUAGUUUAGCACUUCUCCAUUAGAGAUUAUAAAGGUGGACAUUGAAAGCUGAUUUGAAGUAGAUUUAUGUACGUGAAGGCACCAUAAAUCAUACAUCUAAUAACUCAUUUUUGAUACACGUGUAUACUAAGUGACCCACACCGGCUGUGAUUCCGAUGCACAGACCCCGUCUAUCAUCUGUAGGCUUGAUAAGAGACAGCACCGAGAGCUUACAGGUUGCCACCACUGAUGGUAUCGUUUUCAUGAAGGUACCAGCGGAGCCUGGUGGGUGGAGAGUGGAUGCUGGCUCAGUCCCUCCGGCUGCUGUUCUGCAGAGUGGAGAUGAUAUGUUAAUCUUUGCCGGGGCUGGCGGACUCCGCCGCUGCACAUGCCGCAGUUGUGUGUUGUGACCAUCAUUUUGUGUCUGCUAAUGUGGAAGUUCCUCCGUGUUUGAGGGAUGUGGUGAUGCAGAUAAAUGUGUUUUUUUUUUUUUUUGUCACAGAAAAAGUGCACUAAAUCUUCGCUCUAAUUCUCAUGUGAUUGUCUGCCCUCGGUGUCGCACCCCUCCCGAGGCUCAAAAUAAACGCUAAUAAUUGUUUGCCAUAACAGUUUUCACCUCGCCGCUACUCUGUUGACCGUUCAUUAUGCAGGUUAGGGCGCAUUUGGAGCUGAUGACAUUAUCAGAUAUUGAAGGGGGGGUUGAGGAUGCUGUGUAAUAGCUUUCGCCGAAGAUGUGGGCCCCAACGGCUAAAUAAUUCAUCGCCUCCCAGGGAGGAGUGGGGGGGGAUCUCUCCCGCUCCCAUAAUAUUUGGUCCGGGCCAUUAAAUAAUUCAUCCGCCUAUCCGUAAAUUGUUUGUCCAAUCGGUGACCUUUUUCACAAGAUCAAGGGGGAAGCACAAUAAAUAAAUUCAUCAGAGGCCCCGGCGUAACGAACGGGACAAUUACGAGACAGAGAAUCGGGAGUCGCGAAACGGUGCUGGUUGCUAAGUGACAGCGGGAGCUUUUUUUUUUUUUUUUACGCCCACCGUGUUCGCUGUUAACGUCUUGAGUGACUGAAAGGACAGAAAAAACAAUCACGAUAUGGCGAUCUAGACUUGGGGACACAGGACCUGCUUGCGAAGCCCUGCGUCUUUGACAGCCUGUCAGUCACUUAGCGAUGGAAGAGCGUCGAUUAUCUCCAGAGUGUGUCUUUGUUGCGUGUACAGACCGAAUUCUUGGUCUUUAGUGACAUAAACAAGCCAAGUGACUUCUGGUGGGGGCUUGAUCCGAUUCACCCCCCCACCCCACCGUUAAAUCGUCUAAAGGCAGAUUUAGGUGAAAUGGAGGUGGAGCAGUUUUGAUCGUGCGCAAGCAGCUGCUCUCCUCCCUCACUGCAGUCAGCGCAUUGUUCUCGAGCUGCUCCACGGAAAAAGCUUGUGUGAGAUUUGCCGAAAGCCGAGUGUCUUUAUUGCAGUGUUUUACUCGUCUUGUUUGGGUAAUGAGUGGGUGUUUCAGGUGGUGUCUCUCUCUCUCUCUCUCUGAGUCUCUGGGAUUAGCUGUAGCCUUGUGUGUGUGUGUGAGGAGCAGGGUGCCAGCUUUAAUGGGAAGGUGGCCCAGUAAACAGCUCGGCCUCUCAGUGCCCAGCGCCUCCCCAUCGACUCUCCACCUGGUCUUUGAGCACCUAGCUGGCCGCGGACCCCAUCCUCCUCCCCCGUUUGUCUUUUUUUCCUCCCUCUUACCGCUCUACCUCCCACCCUCCCCGUUUUUGCUCAUCUUCCUCUCGUUCUCCUUCCAUCCGUCCCAUGUCCCUGUCUGCCCUUUCCUCCUCCCGCCCCCGCCUCCAUCCUAAAGCAGAGUGGCUAAUGAAGAGCCCCAUUUAGCCGGUGACUUUGGUUCAGUCGGCGCUGCGUAGCGCCGGCCGGCCUCGGGCCGCCGUGACUGGCUGUUGAGGCUCUGACAUCACACGGGGGCCAGCUGUUGAUUUGGCGCUGUCUCCAAGGCUGGCUGGCUUGAUGGGUUGUGGCAGGUAGACUUGUUCUCUCUCUCUCUCUCUCUCUCUCUCUCUCUCUCUCUCUCUCUCUCUGACACCCACUCGCCCUCUCCCUUUUUACACUCCCCUCUCCCCGUGUUCCGCUCUCACUCAGUCGAGCGGGCAAACAGGAGGCAGCAGGCAGCUGCCGAGGAGCGAGCUGGGAGGCGACUCCAGCCUCCUCUCCAGCAAAUAGUGCCUCCUGUACAAUGGAAACUAAACGAUUGAGUAGCAGAAGGGAUGGAGGGCAGAGCUGCCGGGGCAGGUCAGCAGGGGUCAUGAGGGCGUCGGAGGCCCCGGUUGCCGUUCAGAGCAGCUGAAGCAGACAUGGGCAGAGAAGUCUCAAAUGGCACCGGCAGGCUCAGCCUCAUCGACCUCACCAGCAGCAUCCUCCUUCGCCGCGACCACCACUGGCUACGCAACAAGUUCUCCGCAUUCGCCAGCCUCUCCCAGUAAGACUUUGCAAUGAGAAUGUCCGACACAGCCGACACUGAAACAAUGAAGGUUUCCGAAGCCGCCGACGCGCCCCCGCCCCCGAAGGACAACGCCUCCAACUCUGAGAUCGCCGACCAGAGCCAGAGCGGCCGAGACGGACACGGCAGCAACAACAACAGGGACGCACAGGUAAAGAACUGAAUGAGGUUGAUGUCCACACCGACCGGUAUAGACUCGAUCGAAACUUGACUUCAUAUCGUUUUUUAAGCGUUUUCCUUCACCCGUGACAUAGUCAUUUACUCAGGGAGGUUAGAGGAGCAGGAGUGAUUUUCACUCUUUCCUCCACACUCGUCUCCAUGAAAAUUCAGCAACCGUCAACGUCAAGCACAAACUGCCCCGGGGAUCUCCUGUCACCCGCGGCGUUCAAGACGGAUUUUCUCGGCAGCUUCGGCUAUUAUAAUAUUAUUAUUCCCCGGAAAAGCAUAACUGCACGGACUGAAGAUAAUAAUGCGGGGGCUUGACUCUGCCUCGCGAAGGUCGGCCACUACCGAAACCCGAAUGUGGUAAAAGAGCAUUAGGUCGUGGAAACUGGUGAAUCUCAUUUAUCCUCCGCGGGAGACGGUAAAGCGGCGGAUCUACCGGGGGGGGGGGAUUCAGGGCACCUGAGAUCACUUUCAAAUAAACUGCUAAUUAAUUAGGUCUCUUUGUCAUUGCAGUGAAUGUGCUUUGGGACCGUGGGCAAAUUUGCACUUUUUAAUUUGCCCUUUUCAAGUGAAGAGGUUUGCGCUCACAGGUGGCGAAAACGACGCGCAAUGCCUCCCGGGUGAGGAAAUCCAGGAAAAGGGAGAAGGAUUUUGUCUUUUGGUCACAGCCUAAAAAUAGGAUGCAGGCCAAUCUGACCCUCGUGGUUGGAAGGGAGAAGUCAGAGCGAGGGAGACGGGCAGGCAGAUAAUCUGGAGCUCAAAUCCUGGCUUAUCUACCGACUUCCUGCGUCUACGUUACCCCCGGGCGAGGAACAGAAUGACAGCAGUAUGGGGGGGAGGGAGGGGGAGAGAUGGGACGAGGGAUCAAGGAGAAGAGGAAGGUGAGAAAGCAGGAGGGGACGCGGUAUUGAGGAAUGAAGGGGGAGGGAAGAAUGAAGCAUGAAGGUGGCAGUCAUUUUAAAGGUGCAUCCAUCCAGAACAGCAGGAGCAGAAAGGGAGCUUACCUUUACACUACAUUACGUUUGUUGGAUGAAAUAACACAAUCCUCCUAUUGGAAAUAUAUAAAGUUGACUUCGUAAGCAAUAAAACGCACCAUUGCUCAAUUCAAUACACUCAGGCGUUUUGCUGCUGCAGCCUUACUUAGUCUGGUAUGACCAGUAGAUUAAAGGGGCUAAUGAUAGCAGAUAUUGACGUUUAAAUGACUACACCGAGCUGGCUUUACGGCACCCGCGGGGCUGUGACACUACGGUUUGGCCUAUCGAUGUCGUCUUUGAGAGGAACAGUUUGACAAUGCACCGGGAGCUGCUCCGCGAAGCUACAGCCAGCUCCCGAUUAGCUUAGCAUAAAGUCUGAGAGACAUUAGAUUGGUGUCGAUCUUCUUAUCAAGCAAAUUGAGGCGAUAUUCAGAAACGAUUGGACCGUAAUUUCCACUUGUGGCAACAGUGGCUGCUGUUUAGCAAAAACGGCAUCUCCCCCAUUUUAGAAAACAAAUAAGAUUUGAGUUUUUGGUCAAACUUUACACCAAGCAAGUCGCCCUUUUCCUCAAUUCUCACCCCCUAAAGCUAAAUCUCUGUCCCUCUCCUUUGAACAUCUCACCUUAAAUCGACUUCGCAUGCACCCCUGUCUCCUCCUCCUCAUGUUUUUCGUGACCUCUUCAAAUGUAGACCUCUUCUUCUGCCCCUUUUCCCUCAAAACUCACCCUCCGCGGUCACACGGGGAUAUACGCCGCAGAGACACGCCGAUGCUCCUGACCUCUUCCCACUCGUCAUUUUUCGCAGUGGCGGAGGAGCCGAAGUUA